Astyanax mexicanus (Mexican tetra) is the source of this 888-nucleotide long non-coding RNA. RefSeq lists it as uncharacterized. The transcript has 8 exons. The record is from RefSeq and is a predicted model, not a curated record. Lineage: Eukaryota; Metazoa; Chordata; Actinopteri; Characiformes; Acestrorhamphidae.
CAGGAAAUUAACAGAGGAUGGGUCAGUAAAUAAACAGUGAAUUGGUCAGUUAACAAACAGUAGACAGGUCAGUAAAUAAACAGUAGACAGGUCAGUUAACAAACAGUAGACAGGUCAGUUAACAAACAGUAGACAGGUCAGUUAUCAAACAGUAGAUUGGUCAGCAAAUAAACAGUGAAUUAGUCAGUUAACAAACAGUAGAUAGGUCAGUAAAUAAACAGUAGACAGGUCAGUCAAUAAACAGUAGAUAGGUCAGUUAACAAACAGUAGACAGGUCAGUUAACAAACAGUAGACAGGUCAGUUAACAAACAGUAGAUAGGUCAGCAAAUAAACAGUGAAUUAGUCAGUUAACAAACAGUAGAUAGGUCAGUUAACAAACAGUAGACAGGUCAGUUAACAAACAGUAGAUAGGUCAGUUAACAAACAGUAGGUUGGUCAGCAAAUAAACAGUGAAUUAGUCAGUUAACAAACAGUAGAUAGGUCAGUAAAUAAACAGUAGAUAGGUCAGUAAAUAAACAGUGAAUUAGUCAGUUAACAAACAGUAGACAGUUCAGUAAAUAAACAGUAGACAGGUCAGUAAAUAAACAGUAGACAGGUCAGUUAACAAACAGUAGAUAGGUCAGUAAAUAAACAGUAGAUAGGUCAGUAAAUAAACAGUGAAUUAGUCAGUUAACAAACAGUAGACAGUUCAGUAAAUAAACAGUAGACAGUUCAGUAAAUAAACAGUAGACAGGUCAGUAAAUAAACAGUAGAUAGGUCAGUAAUUAAACAGCUAAUCGGUCAGCAAAUAAACAGUGAAUUAGUCAGUUAACAAACAGUAGAUAGGUCAGUAAAUAAACAGUGAAUUAGUCAGUUAACAAACAGUAGAUAGGUCAGUAUGUACACAG